GCCACUUAAAAGACUCUCCAUCGUUCUCUGAAAUAUGGCCGGAGCGGAGGCCACACCGAACGGUAGUCUGCUGUAGGUGAACAAACUUCUGUGCGUGUUUACUGUGAGGUAUUUCUUGGAGUCGUCAUCCAUGAGUAUUUGUUGAUAAGCGUGACUCAUAUCUAACUUCGAAAAUUGCUUACCCUUUGCAAGUGCAUUGAACAAAUCCUCUACUCUGGGUAUUGGACACUGCUCAACUGAUGACACUGUGUUUACAGUUAGUUUGUAAUCACCACAUAAUCUGACUGUGCCCACUGGUUUCAGGAUGGGUACUACUGGUGCUGCCCAUUCUGAAUACUUCACCGGUGUGAUGAUGUCCUCUUUCAGCAAUCUGUCAAUUUCCUCAUCCACUCUUGCUCUCAUGGCAUAAGGAAUCGACCUUGGACGGAAGAAGCGUGGAACAGCAUUUUCUUUCACAUGAAUAGUGGCUUUGGUGCCCUUUAAUGUGCCCAGCUCCUCCUUCAAAACUUCCUCAUGUAUGCACAGCACUUCCUGUAAUUUCUCAUUUGCCUCCUUCUCUGAGUACAUAUGGUGCACUUGACGAGCUUUGUAUCUGGCUUUUAUUUCUUUCCAAUCAAGUUGAAUGUCUUCCAUCCAACCUCGGCCCAGCAAGGAAGGACCCUCUCCUUUCACGACCACGAGGGGCAGUUUGGCUCUUUGCUUUUUGUACUUCACAUGGACAUGAGCUGCUCCAACAACUUUCACUGGAUCUCCUGUAUAGGUCUCCAACUUAAUCCCGACUUGUUUAAUGUGGGGAGUUUUCGUGUUUUUCCACAUUGUUUGAAAUGUCUUUUCAUUCAUUACGGUGAGACUGCAGCCUGUGUCAAUCUCAAAAUUAACUCUCUUCCCAUUCACUUUCAUGCUUUCCGUGUAUGGAUCCACUUUUCUUAGGUGUAUUUCACUCAUACGCCCUAGCUUAAACUUCAUACUUUGUAAUGCAAAAGUAUUUUCCUCUGAACUCUCAGAGUGGCUUUCUUCUGUUUGUUCUUUAACUUUAUGUGAACGAUAGCUUGAAUGAGACUUCUCAUUUUUCACAGUUCCUGAUUUUGCAUUUCCUUUGUUUGCCUUUAUUCUGACAAGCUCUAGCAAUAUGGCCAACUUUACCACAUGCAUGACAUUUUUCUUGUUUAAAUUUACAUUCUGCAGCAUUAUGUUGUCCUUUGCAACGAUAACACUCUUGAACACUGCUGCUCUUGAACGCGCUCCUCUGAUGCGUACCUUUGUGCAGCUUGAAGCACUUGGCUGUUGCACUUGGAUUCUGGAGGUCAUGUGCAUUUUUAUUUGCCGUUUCUGCCGCGACUGCAAUGGACAAGGCUUUUUCACACGUUAGAUCUGUCUCUACCAGAAGUCGUCUUUAAAUCCGGUCAUCAUUUAUUCCACAUACGAUCCUAUCUCUCAACUUCUGCUCCAGCGUGUUGCCAUAAUUACAGUCCUGUGCCAGCCUGCGCAGCUCUGCUACGUAUUCCAUCACUGAUUCAUUUGGCUUACGACUGCAAGAAUCAAACUUGUACCUCUGGACAAUUUCACUUGGUUUGGGGUCGAAGUGGUUUUUCAGCAACGUCACAAGUUGUUGGUAAGUCUUCUCUUUUGGUUUACUUGGGCUGAGGAGGUUCUGUAUUAAACUGUAUGUAGAUGCGCCGACCACACUGAGGAGUAUAGCUCUCUGCUUAUCCCCGUCAACAAUCUCAUUGGCCUCAAAAAACUGUUCCAUUAUUUCACAGUAUUCUUCCCAGCUUUGACUUUUAGCAUCAAACGCCGCUAGAGUGCCGAUGGUCGCCAUCUUCUCUUAAAUUUAUGGUAACUCUCCCCCCUUUUUGAAACUUUUCUCCAGCAAACCACGUCCUUACUGUGAAUCUUGUUUGUCCUCGUCGCCAAAAGAUGUUGCAUCGUGGCCAAAAUAACUUUGCACAACAUCUCAAGUUUAGUUCAGUUGUUUUUAUUGAAGCUCGUGCACAACCACCAAGCACAUAUCUUUUAGGUACCGCUUCUUCUGUGGUUCUCUCACAACAGUAACAUUCAGUAGGUAACAUUACGCUCGUGCGCCCUCUACUGGAGAAACCGUAUAACAACAAUGUAACAUUGUAAUAAUUACUGUCCACAGUAUACUUGUACAUUUAACUUGGAACAAGCCUUGGUAUAACAUUUAAAACAAUAAUAUUAAAUCUCAGUAUACCACACAUCAUAUGUGUCACGUUUGCGACCAGGCAGACGCUGCAAACACACUGACAAAUGGAAAACUAAUGGUGCUUGAAACCAUUUCUGAUGGGGAGAAGCUGUGUGAGGAGAUUCUCCGUCAACCACACCUUUGUAAUUCAUCAUUAAAAGAGCUGCAGUUGAAACAGUCACAUUCAGACUGUGGAGGCGGUUUUAUUUACCCAGACACUGGGGGAAGUUCUAAAUUCUCCAGAGAUCUCGUGGUAUGUCCACCCACUGUGCUCAUAUUCUAGUGGAAAGUAAUUGUUGCUAAAGUUAUCAAUUAACACAGUGCAAGAAAUACAGUAUUUACCUCUGGUAUGUAGUGGAUUAAAACAGGCAUACUUAGAAAGAAAAGCUUCUCAAAUAUGUACAUGAGUAAAUGUACUACAUUUUCUUGGGAGCGUCAGUAGAAAGCAACUGGACUACUCUUCUAGGUUUUUGAAGACGUUUCACCUUCAUCCCAGAAGCUCCUUCAGUUCUAAUUGACUGAUGGGGGUUUUAGAUAUUUAUAGUCAUUUCAGUUCACAUGGCUAAUGGCCCAUUAAUAACAUUAAGAACCUAAAGGAGAAGUCCAUUUGCUCUCUACUGAAGCUCAGCUGAGAAUCUACACAGACAUCUGUACUCCGUUUUCUGUCAUCUCUAAAAAAAAAUGUGUGGGUGCUUUCAGAUUCUGGUAUCUGACAAGAGGUCAUGCUUCACUUCACUGCUUCUUCACAUCUGUUUACCUUUUCUGGAGUCACAGAGAGCGAAUGGAGACGUAACAAGAUUAGUCGACCCUGAAGAGGUCUCUUUGCCUGUAAUAUUAUUAUAGAGAAGAACAAGAUGAUAUAAAAUUACAUUUUCAAGUGUGGGGAUUUUUACUUUUAUCUGCAAAAGGAUGCAACAUAUGGUAUUUUAAUAAAAGCAAUGGAAUAUCUCCACCACCUGCAAAGCUGAGAAUAUUGAAAUAAUACAUGUUAUUCCUUACAGUUAUGGACUGUCUUUGCUAGAGGCUACAACUUACAUACACUUUAUUUAAUUAUCAGAGAUAAAAAAAAAAAGGACACACGUUUGCUCCUCUGGUUCGUGUUUUGACAAGACAUCUACCUGUUAUCUGCAGAUUUGACAACGUUAGCUACAAAGACACACUGCAAGAACCAGAUCAGCCUGAAGUAGAAGGAGGAUCCUCGUAUUGCUGUGGGGUUUUCUUUCAUAACGCUAGCCAAGAAUGCAAAUUGAUGUCUUUGUUUUCAGUCUCUCUCACUUGUAGACAUGACCAGAGGAGCUAAACUGGACCCAGGAUUCACCUGGAGGCAGCAUAGACCUACGAACUGGAGCAGGUGGAAGCUGAAUUAGUGAGGAUGACUCCUGCUCCUGUCAUCUCUAAGCUCCUCACACAUCUUUACCUGCACAUGAGGAAAAUCACUCCUGUAGAAUGCAGUUCAUCAGAACCUCUGGGGAUCCUGUGGAUUCUGUGGAUCCUGUGGGUUGCAGGGUGGGUCCUACCUAGACCAGGCUGAUCCUGGACCAUCCCACAGAUGCUCCAUCAGAUGUGGAUGUGGGGAGUGUGGAACCCAGAUGUUCAGAGGCAGAUGAUGCCACAUCUGGUCCAGCUGAUGGAAGGUCUUGAAGUUCUCUGACUGGCCUGGACUGAAGAUGGUCGUCUCACUGGAUUUAAGGUUCAGAUGCUGUUAUUUGUUUAGUCCAGACUAAAUGACAAAAAUCCACAACUGUAAUUAGUUUUUUUCCCUGUUAAAAGGGUGUUUUCCUGCCACUGUCACCUUAGGGCUGCUCUGGGGUUCAGGCAUAUGGGUUCUGUAAAGCGUCUCGAGACAAUUUUACUGUAAUUGGUGCUGUAUAAAUAAAAUUAAAUUGAAAAAUUUGAAUUGAAUUAAUUUUAUUUCAGGACUCGGUUAUUAAAUGUCAAAACAAUCCAUGUGACUCUAAAAACUCAACAGCUUUACAAACUCUAAGAUUAAACUCUCCACAAGGAUCCAAAAUAAGUUGGACUUCUACAUGAGAGCUUUAAUUAUUCUUCUACUUCCUGAAAAGUUUGGUCAGUAAAAAAGAAAAAAACUAAUGUUUUCAGCUGAACUAAAGACAGACUUUGUGAUUUUUCUGCUCACAUGUUGUGUUGUUGUAAACUUCCUCUUUUUAAUAAAUAUCCUCCUAACCCCCUGGAAACCAGCGUUUGUCUGUUUUUGUGUUGCUCCUCUGCGACCCUAGACAGCCAGGUCCUAAUGUUUUUGAGCAACACACCAUACUAUGACGUUUUUACAAUGAUGGUUCUACUAUGGAACCAGUUUGACAUGUUCAGGCGUUCUUUGUGUGAAAACUCAGAGAUUUCAGGGAUCAGAAGAUGGUUUUCAACUUUCUUUGUUAACUUUCUGCU
Long non-coding RNA from Amphiprion ocellaris (clown anemonefish), 4606 nucleotides. The record is from Ensembl. NCBI's taxonomy places the organism in Eukaryota, Metazoa, Chordata, Actinopteri, Pomacentridae.